AUGGGAUUGUCUGUCCUGUGUCUGCCCUGUGUCUGUGCUGUGUCUGUGCUGUGUCUGUCCUGUGUCCGUGCUGUGUCCUGUGUCCUGUGUCUGUGCUGUGUCCUGUGUCUGCCCUGUGUCUGUGCUGUGUCCUGUGUCUGUGCUGUGUCUGUCCUGUGUCCUAUGUCCUGUGUCCUGUGUCUGUCCUGUGUCCUGUGUCUGUGCUGUGUCCUGUGUCCUGUGUCUGUGCUGUGUCCUGUGUCCUGUGUCUGUGCUGUGUCUAUCGUGUUUCUGUCCUGUGUCUGUGCUGUGUCUGUCCUGUGUCUGUGCUGUGUCUGUCCUGUGUCUGGACUGUGUCUCUGCUGUGUCUGUGCUGUGUCUGUCCUGUGUCUGUUCUGUGUGUGUGCUGUGUCUGUCCUGUGUCCUGUGUGUGUCCUGUGUCCUGUGUCUCUGCUGUGUCUGUCCUGUGUCCUGUAUCUGUCCUGUGUCCUGUGUCUGUCCUGUGUCUGUGCUGUGUCUGUCCUGUGUCCUGUGUCUGUCCUGUGUCCUGUGUCUUGUGUCCUGUGUCUGUCCUGUGUCCUAUGUCUGUCCUGUGUCUGUCCUGUGUCCUGUGUCUGUCCUGUGUCUGUGCUGUGUCUGUCCUGUGUCCUGUGUCUGUCCUGUGUCCUGUGUCUGUGCUGUGUCUGUCCUGUGUCCUGUGUCUGUCCUGUGUCUGUCCUGUGUCCUGUGUCUGUGCUGUGUCUGUCCUGUGUCUGUGCUGUGUCUGUCCUGUGUCUGUCCUGUGUCUGUGCUGUGUCUGUCCUGUGUCUGUGCUGUGUCUGUCCUGUGUCUGUGCUGUGUCUGUCCUGUGUCUGUGCUGUGUCUGUGCUGUGUCUGUCCUGUGUCUGUGCUGUGUCUGUGCUGUGUCUGUGCUGUGUCUGUGCUGUGUCUGUCCUGUGUCUGUCCUACUGUGGUUGUUUUGGCAGCACAUGUUUGUUUGGUUUUGCACAUUCACUGCUGGAGAAAAAUUCUGCCUCAGAAUGA
Molecule: long non-coding RNA, 1002 nt
Filed under: Callithrix jacchus (white-tufted-ear marmoset)
Lineage: Eukaryota; Metazoa; Chordata; Mammalia; Primates; Cebidae
Description: lncRNA (ENSCJAG00000087283.1)
Source: RNAcentral